Molecule: long non-coding RNA, 224 nt
Filed under: Elaeis guineensis (African oil palm)
Lineage: Eukaryota; Viridiplantae; Streptophyta; Magnoliopsida; Arecales; Arecaceae
Description: long non-coding RNA (EGUI_LNC068756)
Source: RNAcentral
UAUCUUAACAAUCAUGACAACUAACCAUGGCAUCUAAUCAUAUCUCUAAGAUGUAAAAAUAUAAUCAUACAAUAUGAUUAUAACAUAAUAUCUUAGCAUAUCAUAUACAUGAAUAUAAAAUACUCUUUUCAUGGUUCUUCUUCUUGGGACAUCACAGUAGCACCCCUACAUGCCAUAAGAGUAUCCCAUGGAAUGGAAAGAAAGGGUCUAUGAAUCUUACUUGC